This 330-nucleotide long non-coding RNA is filed under the name Gallus gallus (chicken). Its description in RNAcentral is "lncRNA (ENSGALG00010025803.1)". The record is from RNAcentral. Lineage: Eukaryota; Metazoa; Chordata; Aves; Galliformes; Phasianidae.
GGAGUGAUGUGCCUCUGGACCUUGUACUUACUAAAAAGGAAGGACUGUCUGGAGAUGUGAAAGCUGGGGGCAGCUUGGGAUGGAGCGAUCAUGAGAUGGCAGAAUUCAAGAUCUUGUGUGAAAGAAGCAAGGCAAUAAAGUAGGAUUGCAACGUUGGACUUCAGGAGAGCCAACUUCAACUUCCUCAAGGACCUAUUUGGAGGUAUCCCAUAGGAAGCCCAUGAGUGUUGGUGGAUAUUCAACUCCCACUUCUUCUAUGCAGGUUCACCAGCUUUUUGGACUUGUGCUCUUACUUCAGUAUCACUGAAUGUUUCUUCCAGUGGAAAUCAA